GGUUAUGGCUCAGUGGUAGAGUGCUUGUCUCACAUGAAUGCAGCCCUGGGUUCAAUCCUCAGCACCA
Molecule: transfer RNA, 67 nt
Filed under: Marmota monax (woodchuck)
Lineage: Eukaryota; Metazoa; Chordata; Mammalia; Rodentia; Sciuridae
Description: tRNA.Val
Source: RNAcentral